RNAcentral lists this long non-coding RNA (539 nucleotides) under Trifolium pratense (red clover). RNAcentral's name for it is "long non-coding RNA (TPRA_LNC010873)". Lineage: Eukaryota; Viridiplantae; Streptophyta; Magnoliopsida; Fabales; Fabaceae. The record is from RNAcentral.
UCUUGAUUUUGGUUUUUUAUGUUUUAUCGGGUUGGGUUCUUGUAAGGUUGAACUAGAUUCUGGUAGCUGAACAGGAGAAAAUUCGGAAAUUGAAUCACUAGAUUUUGAAGGGUCAAGGAAAGUUUCUUCAUGUAAUGUUGGAUUGGAUUCAUGGAUAUGAGUAGAUUCAGGAAUGAUAUUCUUUUUCCUUGUGUAUACUAAAUUCUUCCCAUAUCUUAUAUCAACACCAACAUUUCCAUCUUUUUCGGAAUCAAUUUCAGUCUCAACAUUGUCACCUCUAGUUUCAACAUUUUUAGGAUCAAUUUCAGUCUCAACAUUGUCACUUCUAGUUUCAGUCUCAACUUGUGGUCCGAGAUUAAGGUCAGGAAGUAUAAGAGACUCAUCUUCCUUACUUGUGUUACUUGUGUUCUCCCCGUGAAGAUGAGUUUGAGCGAAGUAACUUUCUUGUUCAUGAAAGGUGACAUCUCGAGAGACAAAGAAUUUAUUAGACGGUGGAUGAUAACAUUUGUAACGCUUUUGGGUGGAAGAAUACCCUAUAA